This is a long non-coding RNA of Microplitis demolitor, 461 nucleotides long. RefSeq lists it as uncharacterized. The record is from RefSeq and is a predicted model, not a curated record. The transcript has 2 exons. NCBI's taxonomy places the organism in Eukaryota, Metazoa, Arthropoda, Insecta, Hymenoptera, Braconidae.
UAUUAUUUAUAAUAUUCCACAUAUACAUAUACCUAUACAUAUUUAUAUAUACCCACACUAUAAAUUUAUUAGUUUAUAUAAUUUUAUUCACCGUAACGUAUUUUUUAAGUAAAUUUAAAAAAAUACCAGUAGCUGUUUCGCAAUUAGAUAAAACUUGAGGUUGUAAUUCAAACUGUGAAAUCAAUCAUCAUAAUAAUAAUGAUCAUGAUGAUUGAGAUGAUGAAAAAUAGUGGGAAUAAAAAAAAUGUUUUAGUAUCGCAGAAAUACGAGCCGAUUUGCCGAGUAAAAUAAUUCCGUGGGUUAGAAAAGGUAUGUAAUAAUGAAGAAUGAUGCAUAAAUUUCUGUUAAUUUAAAUGACAACGAGGACAUCCUGAGACAGAGCCAGAGUCAGAGUCAGGUAACAGUAGUUUAUAAAAACCGCUAACAAAAAUUUUAUAACCUUUCAAAUCGGCUCGUGCGGC